RNAcentral lists this transfer RNA (76 nucleotides) under Gammaproteobacteria bacterium. RNAcentral's name for it is "tRNA-Thr". It matches the Rfam family "tRNA". From Rfam's summary of the family: Transfer RNA (tRNA) molecules are approximately 80 nucleotides in length. Lineage: Bacteria; Pseudomonadati; Pseudomonadota; Gammaproteobacteria. The record is from RNAcentral.
GCCGUUGUAGCUCAGUUGGUAGAGCAACUGAUUCGUAAUCAGUAGGUCGGUGGUUCAAAUCCACUCACCGGCACCA